AGUUCCAUUACUUGGAUAACUGCGGUAAUUCUGGAGCUAAUACAUGCUAAAGAGCCCUGACUCACGGAGGGGCGCAUUUAUUAGAUCAAAACCAAACGCUUCGGCGUUCAUUGGUGAAUCUGAAUAACUUUUGCUGAUCGUAUGGCUCAACGCCGACGACGUUCCAGUCCAAGGUGUGCCCUAUCAACUUUCGACUGUGAUAUAGACGCUCACAGUGGUUUUGACGGGUAACGGGGAAUUAGGGUUCGAUUCCGGAGAGGGAGCCUGAGAAACGGCUACCACUUCUAAGGAAGGCAGCAGGCACGCAAAUUACCCAAUGGUCGAAGACCGAGGUAGUGACGAAAAAUAACGAUACCGGUCUCUUCCGAGGCCCGGUAAUCGGAAUGAGUACACUUUAAAUCCUUUAACGAGGAACAAUU
RNAcentral lists this ribosomal RNA (419 nucleotides) under marine Metazoa environmental sample. Its description in RNAcentral is "SSU rRNA". It matches the Rfam family "Eukaryotic small subunit ribosomal RNA", at positions 128 to 549 of the family's 1831-position model. The record is from RNAcentral. Lineage: Eukaryota; Metazoa.